GGGGGGGCCGCGGGGAGGUGAGCACAGUGCUGACCCGCGUCGCGGUGCCGCCCGGCAGGUACAGCACCUGGGAGCCCGAGGAGAACAUCCUGGACUCCCGCCUCAUCGCAGCCUUCGAGCAGAAGGAGCGCGAGCGGGAGCUGUACGGGCCCAAGAAGAGAGGACCGAAGCCCAAAACUUUUCUGCUGAAGGUAACUCUUAUUUACAUCCCUCCGGCCUAGCGCGGCACCCCCAGCCCCUCGCCGUGCCCUCAGCGCUUGGCCUGAGCCGGGGGCGGCGGGGCCCCCUCACGGCCUCUCCCCUCGUGGCCCCUUCCCUCGGCACGCCGUUCCCCACGCCCCGCUCGCUGUGGGAGCUCCCAUCUGUGAGCUGCAGGCACUGGGGAAGGAGCGGUGCUUCGGUGCCCCGGUAGAUCCCUCGUCGUCGUCCCAGCCUGCUUGCAGUAAGGUAGUCCCAGUGCAGCCCUGACCCCUCGAUUUUAUUCUUUUUUUAAACUAAGAAAUGUGUUAGCUGGGGGAGUGCUGUGGGUUCAUUAGCCCGAAGGCAGAGCUGCGUGCUUUGCUCCCUUCUCCUUCCACGAGCAUUGCGGGUUCAGAUGAACUCGGACAACGCGCCUCAGCAUGACUGAGACAGGUAAGGGAGAUCAUAGUAUUGAUCCCGUAUGAAACACUGGAACAGCUGUGCGGUGAGGUAUCUCCAUCACCAGCUCUGUCUGUGGCUCAGAGCAAGUCCUCAUCCCUUUGUGCGUGUUUCCCCAAUGGGUUAACGCUCCCCUCUGCCUGGCAGCAGCAGGAGCUUCACUCCACUUAGCCUAGUGCUUGGACUGAGUGAGAGGGGUAGGAUGUCGUCUCUGCUUCCUGAAACACGUGGGGGGAAAUGUGGGAAUGGGCGCAUGCUGAUGCCCUGAGCAAAACCCAGGGGACACGGUAAUCCCCUGAAAGUCCCUCCUUCAGUGUCCUCCGCCUGUUUUUCUGCUAACAGCUUUCUGCAUAUGCAACCCGAAAGCUACAGACGCAACUGAUGGGUGCACCUCGUAAUCUUUGUGCAGGGAAGCUGGGCUAGGUGGUUUUUCUGGCAGUCAUGCAUUAAGUGAAACCCUGGUGUUUAGGUUUCCAACAAUGCAAAGGAAAGCUGAAAGGGAAACCACCGCCUUAAAAUAGUUCUCUGCUUGAAUUAAAAAGCGCUGGGAUUCAUAACACCUGACAUCGUUCAGCGGUAGGGAAGUGUUGUCUUUGUUUAUUCUGUGCUUUUGACACUACUGUGUAUAAUCAGUUUCUUUUCUUUUGAUUCUGAGUGGAGUGUGGAAAAAUCUAUCGCCAAUUUUUCAUUCUCAUUCGCACAACAACAAAAUCCAUUAAAAAAAAAGAAAAAAAGCAAGAAAAAAAACAAAACCUCGUUCCUCCUCUUCUCCC
Molecule: long non-coding RNA, 1412 nt
Filed under: Chrysolophus pictus (golden pheasant)
Lineage: Eukaryota; Metazoa; Chordata; Aves; Galliformes; Phasianidae
Description: lncRNA (ENSCPIG00010010412.1)
Source: RNAcentral